Molecule: unclassified non-coding RNA, 1383 nt
Filed under: Hevea brasiliensis (rubber tree)
Lineage: Eukaryota; Viridiplantae; Streptophyta; Magnoliopsida; Malpighiales; Euphorbiaceae
Source: RNAcentral
UCCAUUGCCACGUCCUUUCUUUAUCCUUUCAGCUUAAUCACCCACCACAUACAUUGAAAUUAGCCCAAUCCAUUGGAACCCACCAAAUUGACGAAUCAAACAAAUAAUGAGGCUUCUGAUCAGGUCCCACAUUCAGGGAUGAUGGACCAAGUCUUCGUUGGAUUGCCCAGUCAAAAUUUCCGACGCGUUCAGCAUUUUUCUUAUCUAGCAUUCAACUCACGCUCAAAUACCACGCCGUCUCUUUUCCCCUCCUUCCAAGCAACAUCCUCCACUCCCCAGCCCCCACCACCAUCACUCCCUUUUCCAAUAUAUAACUGCCACUCUGUGCUCUCUCCCUCCUCGCCAAAACCCCCCACUACUUCACAAUCAUCACUUCAAUCUUCUCUGCUCUCAUCAUACGCACUCACUUUUUUCUUUUUGAUCUUUAGAAUGAUUCUUCAAGACUCAAGCAUGGACUCCAAGCCAAUUAUCAUCCGAGAAGUCUGGUCUGCUAAUUUAGAAUGCGAAUUCCAACUCAUCCGCGAUCUUAUUGAUGACUUUCCUUUCAUUUCCAUGGAUACCGAAUUUCCUGGACUUAUUUUCCGCCCUUCUCUCGACCCCACAAAGCCUUACUCCCAGCAACGCCGCCCCUCUGAUCACUACAAAAUCCUUAAGUCUAACGUCGACGCUUUGAAUCUCAUCCAGGUGGGCCUCACUCUCUCUGACUCCAAUGGCAACCUCCCCGACCUCGGCACCGCAAAUCGAUUCAUUUGGGAAUUCAAUUUUCGAGAUUUCGACGUGUCUCGCGAUGCUCACUCUCCCGAGUCCAUCGAUUUGCUUAGACGUCAGGGCAUUGACUUCGAGAAAAAUAAAGAAGAAGGGGUUGACUCCGCUCGUUUUGCCGAAUUGAUGAUGUCUUCAGGACUCGUGUGCAAUGAUUCAGUGAGUUGGAUUACGUUUCAUAGCGCCUACGAUUUCGGGUAUUUAGUGAAGAUUUUGACACGUCGAGUUUUGCCCUGUAGUUUAUUGGAUUUUUUGAAAUUGUUAAGGGUGUUCUUCGGGAAUAGAGUUUACGACCUCAAACACAUGAUAAAGUUCUGUGAUAGCUUAUAUGGUGGUUUGGAUCGGGUAGCUCGGACACUCGACGUAAAUCGAGCUGUUGGCAAAUGCCACCAAGCCGGAUCAGACAGCUUGUUGACAUGGCACGCAUUUCAAAAGAUGAGGGAUGUCUAUUUUCUGAAAGAUGGGCCAGAAAAACAUGCUGGAGUUUUAUAUGGAUUGGAGGUGUUUUGACUUUUCAGACUUAAGUAUUCAUUUAAUUUGUUUAAAUUAUAAUUUGUAAAUUAAUAUUUUUUUAGUAAAAUUAUUUAAUAAUAAGUGAAAUAUUAAUAUAUUGUUAAGAAA